ACGAACGCUGGCGGCGUGCUUAACACAUGCAAGUCGAACGGAAAGGCCCUGCUUUUGUGGGGUGCUCGAGUGGCGAACGGGUGAGUAAUGCAUCGGAACGUGCCCAGUAGUGGGGGAUAGCCCGGCGAAAGCCGGAUUAAUACCGCAUACGACCUGAGGGUGAAAGCGGGGGACCGAAAGGCCUCGCGCUAUUGGAGCGGCCGAUGUCGGAUUAGCUAGUUGGUGGGGUAAAGGCUUACCAAGGCGACGAUCCGUAGCUGGUCUGAGAGGACGACCAGCCACACUGGGACUGAGACACGGCCCAGACUCCUACGGGAGGCAGCAGUGGGGAAUUUUGGACAAUGGGGGCAACCCUGAUCCAGCCAUGCCGCGUGCGGGAAGAAGGCCUUCGGGUUGUAAACCGCUUUUGUUCGGGAAGAAAUCCUCUGGGCUAAUACCCCGGGGGGAUGACGGUACCGGAAGAAUAAGCACCGGCUAACUACGUG
Molecule: ribosomal RNA, 485 nt
Filed under: uncultured bacterium
Lineage: Bacteria
Description: partial 16S ribosomal RNA
Rfam family: Bacterial small subunit ribosomal RNA
Source: RNAcentral